This 706-nucleotide ribosomal RNA is filed under the name uncultured Bacteroidota bacterium. RNAcentral's name for it is "bacterial SSU rRNA". It matches the Rfam family "Bacterial small subunit ribosomal RNA", at positions 51 to 765 of the family's 1533-position model. Lineage: Bacteria; Pseudomonadati; Bacteroidota. The record is from RNAcentral.
AUACAUGCAAGUCGGACGGGUAGCAAUACCAGUGGCAAACGGGUGCGUAACGCGUAAAUAACCUGCCCCAAACUGGGGGAUAGCCCGGCGAAAGCUGGGGUAAGCCCGCAUAGUCUUGUUUAGUGGCAUCACUUGGACGAGUAAAGCAGCGAUGUGGUUUGGGAGGGAUUUGCGUCUGAUUAGCUUGUUGGGGGGGUAGUGGCCCACCAAGGCGAUGAUCAGUAGGGGCUCUGAGAGGAGGGUCCCCCACAUGGGCACUGAGACACGGGCCCAACUCCUACGGGAGGCAGCAGUAGGGAAUAUUGGGCAAUGGACGCAAGUCUGACCCAGCCAUGCCGCGUGCAGGAAGACGGCCCUCUGGGUUGUAAACUGCUUUUAUCGGGGAAGAAAAUCACUCUUGCGAGGGUGCAUGACGGUACCCGAGGAAUAAGCACCGGCUAACUCCGUGCCAGCAGCCGCGGUAAUACGGAGGGUGCAAGCGUUGUCCGGAUUUAUUGGGUUUAAAGGGUGCGUAGGUGGCCUCUUAAGUCAGUUUUGAAAGCUGGUCGCUUAACGAUCAGGGGUGGAUUGAUACUGGGGGGCUUGGAUCAGGUGGCGGUUUCUGGAACGGGUCGUGUAGCGGUGAAAUGCAUAGAUAUGACCCAGAACUCCGAUUGCGAAGGCAGGAGGCUACACCUGGAUUGACACUGAGGCACGAGAGCAUGGG